RNAcentral lists this long non-coding RNA (206 nucleotides) under Pan troglodytes (chimpanzee). Its description in RNAcentral is "long non-coding RNA NONPTRT017757". The record is from RNAcentral. Lineage: Eukaryota; Metazoa; Chordata; Mammalia; Primates; Hominidae.
AGGAGUCAGGAAUGGGUUCAGUAUGUUUAAGGGACAGCAAGUAGACAGCUGGGGAGACUUUGGAGGAACGGAAAGUAUGUUUCAUGGCUUUAGAAUGUCAAGCAUUAAUGGAAGUAUACAAAAGCAGAAGAGCAGGUAGUCUUAACAACCUUCAGCUCAGUAAUCUUAGCUCACUUAGGAAGGCCAGUAAAUCAGAAAGAACAUUC